RNAcentral lists this ribosomal RNA (663 nucleotides) under Triticum aestivum (bread wheat). RNAcentral describes it as "partial small subunit ribosomal RNA". Lineage: Eukaryota; Viridiplantae; Streptophyta; Magnoliopsida; Poales; Poaceae. The record is from RNAcentral.
AUGGUCCAACUACAGAACUUCUUCUUUUUCAUUACUUCCAUGGUCGUGCCCCGUGGCACGGCAGCACCCGUACUAUUGAAAUGGUUCGUCAGUAGAGAUGUUCCCACUGGUGCCUCUUCUUCCAAUGGUACUAUAAUUCCUAUUCCUAUCCCUUUAUUCCCUUUUUUGGUCUAUCUACAUUUAAGGAAAUUCAUACGCUCCAUGGACAGAGCAAAAAGUGGAGUGUUGGUCAAAGCAAGCCGCCCUAUUCUAUUACCAGACAAAAUGGAGAGAAGCUCAUCCGCUAGAAAUGCUUUAUUUCGUUUCGUUCCCGUUCUUCAUUUCCUUAUUAUCGAAUCCAUGGGGGACUUGUCAUAUUUAGAAUCUUUCUGCGGUCUGCUCUGUUUACAAUUCUUUCGUACUCUCUUCUCUUUACCACGCGAUAGGUCAGCGAAGCGUGAGCGGGCGCUCCGAAGUAAAGGCCAAACACUUCGGCCUAAGGGGAAUGAGCAACAAAAUGACAAGAUGAGGUGCCCCGGGCACCCCCAUAUAGAAAGAAGGGUCGAAGGUUUUGGGCCUGUAGCUUUCCCCGCCCCCCCCCCUCGUCGAGUGGUGCUUGUUUGGGGGGUGUGCCACCAGAAAGCAGGCUUGAAGCUCUCGCCUUACCAACGAGCCGACUGCUGA